Molecule: long non-coding RNA, 4396 nt
Organism: Acipenser ruthenus (sterlet)
Lineage: Eukaryota; Metazoa; Chordata; Actinopteri; Acipenseriformes; Acipenseridae
Exons: 4
Source: RefSeq, a predicted model, not a curated record
GAAAGCUUCGCGUUUAUUUUGUAUAGCUACAACAGGAGAGUUUUUCAGAAGCGAUUUACUAAAUCAGCAAAAUGAAUACACCAAUACAACGUAUGACUGCACUACAAGUCUUGCAGUACUGUACUUUCAGGAGUUAUCAGAAGACGAAUCUGGACACGAAAAUGCGCCAGACCAAGACAGUGAUGAAACUUACUCUGAUCACAAUGAGGUUAGUGAUAGUGAAAGUGAUAAAGUUGCAGACAUUUUGAGACAGAGACAAACACAAGCUGUGGAAAGUGCGUGGCAAGUGCACUGCACAUGGACAGAAGUGGCAUGUCUGUGUUGACUGCAAAAACUAGACUUCACAAGAUCAUAUCUGACAUGGUUUAAACACCCUUGCCAAGUGAGUAUGGAAGGAAAUGCAGAGUGAGGACCUUGGACACUUGCUGAUGACACCAGGCACGAGUUUACAGGUUUCAUUUCUUUUGCUUUCUGAAGGAUGACCAGGGUAUCCUCUUAAAAGUCCACAAGACAGUUAAGUACAUUCGAUUUCUUUCAAUCCAGUCUCAAUCAGAAAAGAAAAUCUACUUUUAUAAUUGUAUAAAUAUUUACUGAAACUGGAAAACGUAUCUUAAACAAUACUACAAAGAAUAAAGUGCUUUAUUCUAUCUACAAAGAGAGAUCACUCUUUCAAUGACAGAGCAGUGCAGAACUGAACAUUAAGAAAUCUUUGUGUGCGGCUUUGCACAGCCCUCAGUAGUUGUAGCUGUGGUUGACUCAGGUAUUCAUGUGUCAAACGCCAUUAAAAAACAGAUAAGAAAGCCAUCCCAUCUUUAUAUUUGACAUAAUUACAGUAUCUCAAUAUCUGUGUAGCUAGGCUGUCACUGAGGGACAAUGGACAACAUCUGGUCUCCCUACUCUUUAACUGCUUUGGUAUCCACCAUCUCCCAGUUAACAGGUGCCAUGGUUUCAGCUUACAGGGGUGGAGGCAGGGAGCUGAAGAACAAGACUGUGUGAACCCUGACCUCUCAGAGCAGGAUGGACACAUUUCCAGGCUCAGCUCACCGCUACCACCUCUGCGCUGACUCAGGAGGGCGAAGACAAACACACGCUAUCCUCCGAAGCGUGUGCCAUCAGCCGACCGCUUUUUUUCACACUGCGGACUCACCAUGCAGCCACCCAAGAGAUACAACGUUGGAGGACAACGCAGCUCUCGAGCAGCUUACAGGCAAGCCCGCAGGCGCCCGACCAGAUUACAGGGGUCGCUGGUGCGCGGUGAGCCGAGGACACUCUGGCCAACCAAACCCUCCCUCCCCCGGGCGGCACUUGGCCAAUUGUGCGCCUCCCCCUGAAAGCUCCCAUCCUUGGUCGACAAAGGAAAAGCCUGGACUCAAACCGACGACUUCCAGACGAUAGGGCGCAUCCUGCACUCUAAGCGAGUACUUUUACUGGAUGCGCCACUUGGGAGCCCAAUGCUUGUAUUAUUUGACAUAAAGCCUUUCAAAUCCUUUGGGACUAACCACAGCUACAGGUGGAAAAGAAAAUAAUGUAAUAUUAUUAGAAUGAAACUCUUUUUUUGAUCAGAAUCUGUGAAACAAUAAGCAUCCUAAACGAGGCAGUCAUUGACUUACACACCGUUUAGUGUGUAUAAACAAGACAACGUUUAUUAUAAAGCAAUGCUUCUGCAUAACACCCACCAAAAAUAAACAUUUUUAUCAAUUUAAAAAAGACAUGAUUCUCCAUUGUCACCUGUUUUUUUUGUACAAAACAUGUAUUUUGCUGGUUUUUACCCUACAGUAUCUCGGGUAAUUUGAGAGGUAAUUAAGCUGUUUGGAUCAUUAAAAUGCACACCAGAAGGUUUAGAUUUAUGAGCCACAGUUCUGCAGAUCCACAUGACAUGGGAACAAGCAAGCAAGCCAUUUAUUGAUACCUUCAUGUUAAGUAACAGUCAUGGAAAACAUAAAAAGCAACUCUUUACCAAUUCUCUGAUGCCAUUCUACUUUUACAAAGUCUUUUUUACAUUCACAUUGCUACCUACUGUACUCAAAUGUGUUCCACAUUAAUAUGAGGUUUAGUUAAAAGUAAAUGUCUGUGUUAUUUGACAUGCUGGUAAAGCCUUUCAAAUCCUUUGGGACUAACCACAGCUACAGGUGGAAUAGAAAAUAAUGUAAUACUAAUAGAAUGAAACUUUUUUUGAGAAGAACCUGUGAAAAAAAUAAGCAAGAUGAAUCCACGAUCCAAAACGAGACACUUUUUCUAGUAUAAUGUUCAUUUCAAUGCGCUACAGUAGGAACAAACGCAAACACUAAACAUCUCACAACAUCUUUCAUCUGUAUUCACAGUGCAACACUGGGUGCUGAAAAGAGAUUUCCUGGUCUCAAGGCCAGGUUGGCAGACACGCAGUGAACAGCCAGAGCACAUCUAAAACACAAGCUGUCAGCAGCACAGUAACACCCUUGUCUCUUACCACUUCCUCAUUAACCGUAAUGUUGGAACACAGUAACUCCAUCACCCAUUGUCUCUCCAUUUCGCAUGUAAUACUUCUGUCACAUGAACAAGCCACUCAAUCGCUUGGCUUACCCUUUUAUGCAUUAAUUAACUAAAGAGAUCCUCAUGGGUUCCAAGAAAAGGUGUUUCAAUAAUGGGAGCCACAAUUUGGGACCAGAAAGUCACCUGGGUAUACAGAGCCAGGAAGCACUUCUACUGUUCCCACUGUAUCCCAGCAUGUAGCAUCAAGCUGAUGUUAAUAAAUGUUAAAUAAGCGAGUCGGAACUGAAGCAUUGAGUGCUCAUAAUAUUACUUUAGCUCUGAACAAUGAAGGGCAAGGGGACUGCUGUGCUGCUCAAACCUGGCACUGCAGAAAUGAACAUUAAACACUACUCUCCUACUUACUCAGAAUAACUGAGGUUGAACUACUAUAGUAAGGAAUUUAAGAUGUGUGUCUUCUUUCAAGAGAGUCAGCUGUCAGUCAUGGAGCUAUGGGUGGCAGGAGCCUCAUUACUGUACAGGAAUUAAACUAAAAGCCAUUUACUGUAAAACGUUCUUUUGUAAUCUAUGUGGAUUCUGGUCAUUCACAUUUAAUGAGUCCUUUGGGCUCGCUAAUCAGCUCUUGUACUACUUUGCUCAUAAGGAACUUUUCAGCCUAAUCAACAUUUAGCGAUCCGAGGCCGAUAAACGGAACUACUGUACAAGUAUUUGUAUUUGAAUGGCUCUAUUUAGCAAACUGAAAUACUGGAGCUGUACAAAUAGUACAAAUGUGCUGACAUUUGUUUUCAAAUUUCAGAUUAACUACAACAGGUUGCUAAUACCACGAAAUAUGUGGUAGUCUGUAGGAGGGCUUGGAACCCAGUGCAGUCUGGAAGCUACUGUGCCUCACUUACUAGUACUACACUAUGUAUGUAUUGAUAAGACAGGAAGAACACAUUUCAGUAGGGAUAUGACUGAAGUGGAUGUAAAAUGCAGCUGAGGGAGGCCAUCAGGGCAAGUUUUGACUUGCAAAGCAAGACUUAAAAAAAAAAAAAAAAAAGUCAGAGAAUAAAGUGCUUUGAGUCUUUAAAUGUGUGGUCUGGAUGCAGGUUAACUUGAAGUAAGUAAAUCAUAAAAGCUAACAGAAAAUGUGAACUAGAUAUGAAUUUUCCAGUAUAAACUUGUCUUGCUCGGUUUGACAUGCGUAUGUUGAGAGCUCAGGUUUCCUAUUUUCUCUUUCUCCCAUACAGAUAAAAGGCCUAUAUGCUGUAAAAACAAGUGAGUGACGAAUAGCAAUACAAGUGUUCAAUGUUCUGCAUGUUUUUAAACAGAAACAAAAAUUAACAUGUCUAAAGCUGCCACACAAACAUUAGGCACACACUGUAUAUGAAUAAACGCAUGUGCCGUUGUCUGCGAUUCAAAUGCAACAGAGCAGAACUGGCGCCGAUGACGGCAAGCUGAUUUACCUAUUAGAAAAAUGAGGCUUCUUAGUGCAAUAUAUAUAUAUAUAUUAUUUUUCAAAAUUACAGCAAUAUAGCUUUAAGGUUUUUGCUUUUUCUGCACACUUUUCUUCCCAGUUAUUUGUUUUAUGAGUGUGUGUUUAAGGCAUGAGCAUUUAGAUGUAACAGUCGAUCAUUUCUCUUUGUAAAACAGCAUGGAGUAAAGUUGUUUAGUUUUCCUGUAUGUUCUGUGUGCAAUUAUACUUGCAACUCCACUACAAAAUAAAACUUAAUUGGAAUGGAGAAAUUCCUCCAUAUACAGUAUGUGUGUGUGUGAGAGAGAGAGAGAGAGAGAGAGAAAGAGAGAGGAGAGAGAUAGAUGUCAUCAAAAGUUUGCUUACCCCAAUGUGUGGAAAUAUACAUACGUUGGGGAUUUAAACUGUUGACGGCAACUGUGUUGUCAACACUUUGUGCUUAAGCAUGUGUUUAUUUCUUUAUAAAUAAAACCUGAU